RNAcentral lists this microRNA (20 nucleotides) under Ananas comosus (pineapple). RNAcentral describes it as "microRNA s0530_c68a". Lineage: Eukaryota; Viridiplantae; Streptophyta; Magnoliopsida; Poales; Bromeliaceae. The record is from RNAcentral.
CCGCAGAUCACACACGGGGA